Molecule: unclassified non-coding RNA, 253 nt
Filed under: uncultured Syntrophaceae bacterium
Lineage: Bacteria; Pseudomonadati; Thermodesulfobacteriota; Syntrophia; Syntrophales; Syntrophaceae
Description: contains 16S-23S intergenic spacer region
Rfam family: Bacterial small subunit ribosomal RNA
Source: RNAcentral
UACGGGGGGUGCAAGCGUUGUUCGGAAUUAUUGGGCGUAAAGAGCGUGUAGGCGGCUGAAUAAGUCAGAUGUGAAAUCCCUGGGCUUAACCCAGGACAUGCAUUUGAAACUAUUCAGCUAGAGUAAGGGAGAGGAAAGUGGAAUUCCUGGUGUAGAGGUGAAAUUCGUAGAUAUCAGGAGGAACACCGGUGGCGAAGGCGACUUUCUGGCCCUAUACUGACGCUGAGACGCGAGAGCGUGGGUAGCAAACAGG